UACGUAGGUGGCGAGCGUUGUCCGGAAUUACUGGGUGUAAAGGGCGUGUAGGCGGGAUUGCAAGUCAGAUGUGAAAUUCUUGGGCUUAACCCAAGGGCUGCAUCUGAAACUGUAGUUCUUGAGUGCUGGAGAGGAUAGUGGAAUUCCUAGUGUAGCGGUGAAAUGCGUAGAUAUUAGGAGGAACACCAGUGGCGAAGGCGGCUAUCUGGACAGUAACUGACGCUGAGGCGCGAAAGCGUGGGGAGCAAACAGG
This 253-nucleotide ribosomal RNA is filed under the name uncultured bacterium. RNAcentral's name for it is "partial 16S ribosomal RNA". It matches the Rfam family "Bacterial small subunit ribosomal RNA", at positions 524 to 776 of the family's 1533-position model. The record is from RNAcentral.